UUUAGAAUGUUUAUACUCAGGCAUUCUUUUGUGUGUAUCGCGCACACCUUAUAAAGAACACAAGUUCCUUGGAGUAUGAAGUGCUAGAUUCGACUAAAAGCCUAGCUGGAGUGGCAGUAUUCUCCUCUCUUUUUCUGUGGAUUUUAACUAGUAUUUCCUGCUUUUAGGAUCUUUUCAAGGAAAUAUUACUUCUCUUUCUUGUAUAGUCAGAAAGCAUAAGGGGCAAGAUGUUAUUCCCAGGAAACUCCAGAUGGAACAAAUACUUGGCAGGACCCUCAGAUCGUUCAACAAGUUCAACAAACGAAAUGACUGUCAGGAGGAGCAGGUAUUCAUCGGUGCCACCAGGAUACUUCGCUAGCACAAAAGGACAUUCAGCACUCAAGAGAUGGUCAUAUGCCCCACAAUCAAGAUCUGCCCUAUACGAGGAUACCUAUAUCCCCGAGGUCAUCAGACCAAGAUCAUACUAUGACACAUCUAGAGAGGAGAACGACAUUAGACGAGGUGUCAACGAUGAGCUGGUGUACACAUCAAAUUUAAUGGACGACACCUACGAUGUAGCAGCCAUGUCACGUAGUAGAGACCAAAAGCUGUUGAGAGACGCCGCAAGGGCACUUCCUUCAACGAUGCCUGCUAUCCAAGAUAAGAAGACUACUUCUCUCACUCCAGCUAGGCGUUUUUCACCCCGCUCGAUAUCUUCGAUAACACCAUCUUUUACAAAGAAACCAAUUGCUUAUCCAAGACUUGCCCCGCCGAUCUAUAGAGGAACAACUAACGUUCAACCGUUGGGCAUAUUAACAAAGCUUGAUUGGACGUCACCAUUAAAAAAGUAUCAAAUUCCCGAGCUAUAUAACGGAGACGAUGUGUCGGAAAUUUCAUCCUACACGACACCAACACAGAGCGAAAGAUCCUCCCCUGAAAGAGACGACGGGACUGGGCCACGCAGAUAUAAAGCACGAAGAUUACCACAUAGAAAAGUUGGUAACUACUAUAAGCAGUUAGUACAAAGGCGAGCGGUACGACCAGGAACAAACCCCAGAUAUUAUCCCUAUUUAGAUGUUGAAUCUAUUGCAUCGAAUGAUGACCUCGUAUCUAACGGUGAGUAUCGUGAUGACGACGACGACUACCAAGACUAUCAAAGUGUCACUGAUGGCGGGGAUGGGGAUUAUUAUUAUGUAAAUAGAGAAAGAUCACCUUCUCCAGUUGAAUAUAUUCCCUUUGGUCCACGCAGUAGAAUGAACUUUGAUAGUGAUGAUUAUAAAUGUCAAGUUCCAAGUAUGAUCGAUUAUGCUGUAUCACAUUAUCAUCCGUCCAAAAAGGAACCAGAUUUUGAUCCGGACAAAUCCCGAAUAAAAGACGACCUUGUAUUUCACGACGUGGUCGCACAUACAGCCCACAAGGCUCGCGAGGCAUUAAAACACGUAGAUUUAGAUCAGUACGAAAAUGCUAGUUUGGUAAUAAGCGUGGAAGGUGAAUAUAAAGAUCCCAUUAAAGGCGAAAAUAUGGGAUUUCACUACAUAGCACGUCCACUUACACUAAAGGGUCCAAUGCUUGCCGGUCCGGCCACAUAUGCAUCAACUGCAUCUGAUUCUGCAUUCAGUAGGUAUAUGGAUGACUCGAGAGCAUUCAGAGCAGAAGUAAGAAAUAGACUUGAGACUGGUUAUAAAACCUUAGGCGAGAUUACAUCCAAAUAUAAGGGUCAUUCAUAUCCAAUCAUUACAUCGUCUCAUAGAAAUUUUUCACGUGCUUUAUCGCCGGUACGAGGUUCAUCAUAUAUUCCUAGAUCUUCAUCACCUGUGCGAUAUUCAUCUGAGUCUUUACCCAUCAGUAAUCUCCGAAAACGCCUUGAGGACAUUGAGAACAGAUUUAAAGCAAGCGGGUAUGGAAAACGCCUAGACACGGACAUAACUGAUUCAUUAGUGGUAUUCCCUGUAUCACAAAAAGAAGGCAUGAAGGCUCUCAAUGACCACUUACCUGGUCACACUAACACCGUGGAACUGUAUCAAGGAAGUGCAAAAGGCACGGAACUGUCAACUUUGGAAAAAAUCAACAUCAAGGCUGCACUUGUCGGAAAUAAAGUCGAGAUUUCAACCCCACACCGAAGAAGGCCAAAGUCCAACUACGCUGCUACUAAAAUGAGGGAGCUGAAAAGAGAGGAACGUGAAUAUGAGGUAGAAGCUAUUCCAACACAAAUCACAACAGGACUAAAAGCUACUACAGUGUCUCCACUCUACGGUGGAAAGUCGCACUGGGAUGAAGAGGGCAAAGUUACAAAACCAAAAAACCUCAUGUCAUGGAAGUCUUUUCAGAAGAAGGGAAGGUUUAUUAACAACCAAUUCAUGUGAAAAUUCACCACCCAGUAGCAUUCUUCGAUCUCCAACGCCACGUAGGGCUGCCUCAGUGCAGCCUACUGCAACGCUAAAACCUUCAGAUGGUUAUCAGCCAAUGUCCGAUGUCCGUCGACGAGUAAGGAGGGUCAUUUGUAAGAAUAGAGGAAAUCCACGCUUUUUCAAGACUGACUGAACAUUGUUGUUGAGUGUGAGAUACUGAGAUGGGAACGUUCAAAGGACAUUUCGAUAAUAUCUGGAAGGAGGAGCCAAUCACAUAGAACAUUUCAUUGAAAACUGCCAUAUACACAUCUUCAAGCAGCGAUUUCUGACUUUAAAAACUUUUGGAUGUAAUUUAUUUGUGCUUUUAUCUGUAUUGCCCUGUCUCUCGUUUAAAAAUGUGUGCUUACGUUGAUACACAAAACACUGAUGUUCAGAGAAUGUUCUUUUUGUACAAGAACACAUUUCGAUAUGAAGACGGGACAAUUAUCCAGCGAUGUGAACCGUGGCAAUAAAAUAAAAUCGAAAAUACGACUGCAUAAUUGAGAUUAAUUGUAAAUUAGAAAAGAAUAUAUUAUAACUUAUAUUGUACAAACCAGAUAUAUUAUAUAUUUAUUUAUAAGAUUUCACUUCUGAUAUCAAUUUGAUAUAUUUUAAUAAACAAAUGUUAUACGUAUAUGUUUUAAAACUUCUGUGAUACUGUAGUGUUACUGUCACUUGCGGUUUGUUGGUCUAAUGACAACUAUUGUACGAAAGUAUUGCUAUAUUAAAUCGUCUUUUGCGUA
Mytilus trossulus (common blue mussel) is the source of this 3109-nucleotide RNA transcript. RefSeq lists it as uncharacterized. NCBI's taxonomy places the organism in Eukaryota, Metazoa, Mollusca, Bivalvia, Mytilida, Mytilidae. The record is from RefSeq and is a predicted model, not a curated record. The transcript is spliced from 11 exons.